UUCGUAGGCGGUGCGGCAAGUCGGGAGUGAAAUCUCUGGGCUUAACUCAGAGGCUGCUUCCGAAACUGCCGUGCUCGAGUGUGGGAGAGGCGCGUGGAACUGCAGGUGUAGCGGUGAAAUGCGUAGAUAUCUGCAGGAACACCCGUGGCGAAAGCGGCGCGCUGGACCACAACUGACGCUGAGGAACGAAAGCUAGGGGAGCAAACAGGAUUAGAUACCCUGGUAGUCCUAGCCCUAAACGAUCAGGACUUGGGGUGCCGCCCGUUCGGGCGUCGUCCCGGAGCUAACGCGUUAAGUCCUGCACCUGGGGAGUACGGUCGCAAGACUGAA
RNAcentral lists this ribosomal RNA (330 nucleotides) under uncultured bacterium. RNAcentral describes it as "bacterial SSU rRNA". It matches the Rfam family "Bacterial small subunit ribosomal RNA", at positions 568 to 898 of the family's 1533-position model. The record is from RNAcentral.